This 454-nucleotide ribosomal RNA is filed under the name uncultured bacterium. RNAcentral's name for it is "bacterial SSU rRNA". It matches the Rfam family "Bacterial small subunit ribosomal RNA", at positions 340 to 786 of the family's 1533-position model. The record is from RNAcentral.
UACGGAAGGCAGCAGGGGGAAUAUUGCACAAUGGGCGCAAGCCUGAUGCAGCCAUGCCGCGUGUAUGAAGAAGGCCUUCGGGUUGUAAAGUACUUUCAGUCGUGAGGAAGGUGUUAAGGUUAAUAACCUUAGCAAUUGACGUUAGCGACAGAAGAAGCACCGGCUAACUCCGUGCCAGCAGCCGCGGUAAUACGGAGGGUGCGAGCGUUAAUCGGAAUUACUGGGCGUAAAGGGCACGCAGGCGGUUAAUUAAGUUGGAUGUGAAAUCCCCCGGGCUUAACCUGGGAAUGGCAUUCAAGACUGGUUAGCUAGAGUCUUGUAGAGGGGGUAGAAUUCCAUGUGUAGCGGUGAAAUGCGUAGAGAUGUGGAGGAAUACCGGUGGCGAAGGCGGCCCCGUGGACAAAGACUGACGCUCAUGUGCGAAAGCGUGGGGAGCAAACAGGGAUUAGAUACC